Molecule: long non-coding RNA, 2401 nt
Organism: Oncorhynchus keta (chum salmon)
Lineage: Eukaryota; Metazoa; Chordata; Actinopteri; Salmoniformes; Salmonidae
Exons: 4
Source: RefSeq, a predicted model, not a curated record
GGACGAACGUCACCUAGCAGACAGGUGGGAAGUUAGAGAGAGGGGAGCUGUCAGUCAAUCACCAGACUGAUAUGACAAUAAUGAUGCAGCAGUUUUACAUCUUAGCUUUUAACUAAGAUGUUUUGUUUUCAAUAGGUUUCUGUCCCUCAAACACACAGCUUCUCAGUCUUUCUGUCACUCUUUCACUUAUCUUUGAGUAGCUACUGAAGCAUCUUAUAACUGUAUGAGAUUACUGAAAAACCAUUCAACUAUCUUCAAAACUUUGACUAUUUAAAAUGAAAAUAUUUCAGCACUCCUCUCCCUUUUUGUAAUGGGAUAAAAUCCUAGGAAUCAAACUGCAUUUCAUUAUUCAUUAUUAUUGUUAUUUUAAAGAAAAUUCCACAGAAUAUAUGACCUAUUCCUAAAUGAUGAUCUGUUUAAAAUAAUGCUGAGGAAGUCAAUUCCAGUUGACUGUAACCAUGUCAAAAAUAAUAUUACCUAUAAAGAUUAUGCAGAAACCACUCCUCCAUUUCCUGGUUGCUAAAAUUCUAAUAGUUCACCUAACUUCAGUUUAUGUGACAAAACAAGCAAGUAUAGUGGAAGAGCAUGGCUUCAACCCUGUUCCUGUAGAGCUACUGUCCUAUAGGUUUUCACUCCAACCCUGUUCCUGUAGAGUUACUGUCCUGUAGGUUUUCACUCCAACCCUGUUCCUGUAGAGCUACUGUCCUGUACGUUUUCACUCCAACCCUGUUCCUGUAGAGUUACUGUCCUGUUGGUUUUCACUCCAACCCUGUUCCUGUAGAGCUACUGUCCUGUAGGUUUUCACUCCAACCCUGUUCCUGUAGAGUUACUGUCCUGUUGGUUUUCACUCCAACCCUGUUCCUGUAGAACUACUGUCCUGUAGGUUUUCACUCCAACCCUGUUCCUGUAGAGUUACUGUCCUGUUGGUUUUCACUCCAACCCUGUUCCUGUAGAGUUACUGUCCUGUAGGUUUUCACUCCAACCCUGUUCCUGUAGAGUUACUGUCCUGUUGGUUUUCACUCCAACCCUGUUCCUGUAGAGUUACUGUCCUGUUGUUUUUCACUCCAACCCUGUUCCUGUAGAGUUACUGUCCUGUUGGUUUUCACUCCAACCCUGUUCCUGUAGAGUUACUGUCCUGUAGGUUUUCACUCCAACCCUGUUCCUGUAGAGCUACUGUCCUGUAGGUUUUCACUCCAACCCUGUUCCUGUAGAGUUACUGUCCUGUAGGUUUUCACUCCAACCCUGUUCCUGUAGAGUUACUGUCCUGUUGGUUUUCACUCCAACCCUGUUCCUGUAGAGUUACUGUCCUGUUGUUUUUCACUCCAACCCUGUUCCUGUAGAGUUACUGUCCUGUUGGUUUUCACUCCAACCCUGUUCCUGUAGAGUUACUGUCCUGUAGGUUUUCACUCCAACCCUGUUCCUGUAGAGCUACUGUCCUGUAGGUUUUCACUCCAACCCUGUUCCUGUAGAGUUACUGUCCUGUAGGUUUUCACUCCAACCCUGUUCCUGUAGAGUUACUGUCCUGUAGGUUUUCACUCCAACCCUGUUCCUGUAGAGUUACUGUCCUGUUGGUUUUCACUCCAACCCUGUUCCUGUAGAGCUACUGUCCUGUAGGUUUUCACUCUAACCCUGUUCCUGUAGAGCUACUGUCCUGUAGGUUUUCACUCCUACCCUGUUCCUGUAGAGCUACUGUCCUGUAGGUUUUCACUCCAACCCUGUUCCUGUAGAGCUACUGUUCUGUAGGUUCACUCCAACCCUGUUCCUGUAGAGCUACUGUUCCGUAGGUUCACUCCAACCCUGUUCCUGUAGAGCUACUGUUCUGUAGGUUCACUCCAACCCUGUUCCUGUAGAGUUACUGUCCUGUAGGUUUUCACUCGAACCCUGUUCCUGUAGAGCUACUGUUCUGUAGGUUCACUCCAACCCUGUUCCUGUAGAGCUACUGUUCUGUAGGUUCACUCCAACCCUAAUAUAGUUCAGCUGAUUCUAAAAAAAAUACCUGGUUGAUAAGCUGAAUCAGGUUCAUUUACAACUUGGGUUGGAGUGAAAACCUACAGGAGGGAAGCUCUACAGGAACAGGGUUGGUGAGCCCUGGUGUAACCAAAAGUAUAUUAUUAUGAACAGCAGAAUUAGUAAGAUAGCAGCACUUUGCAAAAGAAAGCAAAUAUAAAAUAAAAGUGUAAAAAUAGAUAGAUAGUAUGACUAUUUGCUAUAUUUCUAAGAUUGAAGAAAAUAAGAAAUUAUGUAGAUGUAGAUUAACUUACUUCCAACAUUACAUUUACAUUUACAUUUAAGUCAUUUAGCAGACGCUCUUAUCCAGAGCGACUUACAAAUUGGUGCAUUCACCGUAUGACAUCCAGUGGAACAGCCACUUUACAAUAGUGCAUCUAAAUCUUUUAGGGGG